This 115-nucleotide small RNA is filed under the name Klebsiella pneumoniae subsp. pneumoniae. RNAcentral describes it as "partial RtT sRNA". It matches the Rfam family "RtT RNA", at positions 1 to 112 of the family's 130-position model. From Rfam's summary of the family: This family represents a bacterial cis-regulatory element known as RtT RNA. The exact function of RtT is unknown although it is thought that it may be involved in changing the cellular response in relation to amino acid starvation. The record is from RNAcentral. Lineage: Bacteria; Pseudomonadati; Pseudomonadota; Gammaproteobacteria; Enterobacterales; Enterobacteriaceae.
UGCAUCUGAGGCCAGUGAGGAUGAGAACCUCCGGGGGCAGGAGGUUCGACUCGAGCGAAGCGAGAGAACGUUGCGUCAGCAACGGCCCGUAGGGCGAGCCACGAAGUGGUGAGUC